Long non-coding RNA from Nematostella vectensis (starlet sea anemone), 742 nucleotides. RefSeq lists it as uncharacterized. The transcript is spliced from 2 exons. NCBI's taxonomy places the organism in Eukaryota, Metazoa, Cnidaria, Anthozoa, Actiniaria, Edwardsiidae. The record is from RefSeq and is a predicted model, not a curated record.
AAAUCAUGAAACCGAUUUCCAUUCUAACAUAACGCAUAAUCCCCAAAACACACUAAAAAUGACUUCGAUUCCUACUCUAACACAAGCCACCAUUGCUUUUCCCAUCAUGAGGAAACAAUGUUCACACUUCUAGGCAGCCCUCUACGACAAGAAACAAAAAAGUACAACCACGAGAAAUGGACCUACGCUGAAGGAAAAAUACCACAACCACAUUCUCAAGCCUACCGGGACGCAUAUACUCGCUCCAAACACAUAUAAACAACUGGCUAGUUUGGCAUGUACCCCGUCGAGAGCGUGAUAGGCCUCUAUAAACACUGGGAGGGAAGCUAGCAGAGCACUCCUCUCUACCAGUGAACAAGCCUUGCGCCGAUCCCGUGAACCAUUUUAGAAGACCUGGCUGAUCUGAUAUUGCGGCGUGCUAUCAUCGUAGGGAGAAAGUGGUCCCAGCGGAUGGACAGACUCAUUCCAAGGUAAGUUUCUGUCUAGCUCAGCACAAACUCGUUGUUGAGUUCUCAUGGAGAUAUCUCUUCGAACUGCAGUGUAAACAAGAAGCACAAAAGCUUGUGUAAAAUAAUAAAUUAGCCUCCGUCCCUGGCUUCUAUUGGCUGAACGGCUUGUCGGUUAAUGACGUCACUUUGGAUAUGCCGCUAGCCCUGGGGACAGCUUAUCGCACAGAAUAUUUGACAACAGAGGGCUGUCACUAGGGGCCUGGGGACGAGGCUAAUAAAUAACACCCAAUGAA